RNAcentral lists this ribosomal RNA (568 nucleotides) under Staphylococcus aureus. RNAcentral describes it as "bacterial SSU rRNA". It matches the Rfam family "Bacterial small subunit ribosomal RNA", at positions 254 to 814 of the family's 1533-position model. Lineage: Bacteria; Bacillati; Bacillota; Bacilli; Caryophanales; Staphylococcaceae. The record is from RNAcentral.
AAGGUAACGGCUUACCAAGGCAACGAUGCAUAGCCGACCUGAGAGGGUGAUCGGCCACACUGGAACUGAGACACGGUCCAGACUCCUACGGGAGGCAGCAGUAGGGAAUCUUCCGCAAUGGGCGAAAGCCUGACGGAGCAACGCCGCGUGAGUGAUGAAGGUCUUCGGAUCGUAAAACUCUGUUAUUAGGGAAGAACAUAUGUGUAAGUAACUGUGCACAUCUUGACGGUACCUAAUCAGAAAGCCACGGCUAACUACGUGCCAGCAGCCGCGGUAAUACGUAGGUGGCAAGCGUUAUCCGGAAUUAUUGGGCGUAAAGCGCGCGUAGGCGGUUUUUUAAGUCUGAUGUGAAAGCCCACGGCUCAACCGUGGAGGGUCAUUGGAAACUGGAAAACUUGAGUGCAGAAGAGGAAAGUGGAAUUCCAUGUGUAGCGGUGAAAUGCGCAGAGAUAUGGAGGAACACCAGUGGCGAAGGCGACUUUCUGGUCUGUAACUGACGCUGAUGUGCGAAAGCGUGGGGAUCAAACAGGAUUAGAUACCCUGGUAGUCCACGCCGUAAACGAUGAGU